GACGAACGCUGGCGGCGUGCCUAAUACAUGCAAGUAGAACGCUGAAGGAGGAGCUUGCUUCUCUGGAUGAGUUGCGAACGGGUGAGUAACACGUGGGUAACCUGCCUGGUAGUGGGGGAUAACUAUUGGAAACGAUAGCUAAUACCGCAUAAUAGUAGCUGUUGCAUGACAUUUGCUGAAAAGGUGCAAUGGCGUCGCUUCGAGAUGGACCUGCGGCGUAUCAGCUUGUGGGUGGGGUAGCGGCUCACCAAGGCGUGGAGGCGUAGCCGGCCUGAGAGGGGGACCGGCCACAGUGGGCCUGAGAUAGGGGCCGGAGUCCUACGGGAGGAAGCAGUGGGGAAUAUAGCACGAUGGGCGGAAGCAUGAUGCAGCAACGCCGCGUGCGAGAUGACGGCUGUCGGGUUGUAAACCGCUUUCGCCUGGGACGAAGCGUGAGUGACGGUAACUGAUAAAGAAGCACCGGCUAACUACGUG
This 474-nucleotide ribosomal RNA is filed under the name uncultured bacterium. RNAcentral's name for it is "partial 16S ribosomal RNA". It matches the Rfam family "Bacterial small subunit ribosomal RNA", at positions 28 to 507 of the family's 1533-position model. The record is from RNAcentral.